This 181-nucleotide small nuclear RNA is filed under the name Oncorhynchus mykiss (rainbow trout). RNAcentral's name for it is "U2 spliceosomal RNA (ENSOMYG00000059705.1)". It matches the Rfam family "U2 spliceosomal RNA". Rfam says of the family: U2 is a small nuclear RNA (snRNA) component of the spliceosome (involved in pre-mRNA splicing). Complementary binding between U2 snRNA (in an area lying towards the 5' end but 3' to hairpin I) and the branchpoint sequence (BPS) of the intron results the bulging out of an unpaired adenosine, on the BPS, which initiates a nucleophilic attack at the intronic 5' splice site, thus starting the first of two transesterification reactions that mediate splicing. The record is from RNAcentral. Lineage: Eukaryota; Metazoa; Chordata; Actinopteri; Salmoniformes; Salmonidae.
AUUAUUUUUCCCAAAAAAAAAAAAAAAAUCUGUUCUUAUCAGUUUAAUAUCUGAUACGUCCCCUAUCUGGGGACCAUAUAUUAAAUUGAUUUUUGGAAUAGGGAGAUGGAAUAGGGGCUUGCUCCGUCCACUCCACGCAUCGACCUGGUAUUGCAGUACCUCCAGGAACGGUGCACCCCCU